CUAAUACAUGCAAGUCGUACGCUGAAGCGCUCUGCUUGCAGAGCGCGGAUGAGUGGCGAACGGGUGAGUAACACGUUGGGCAACCUGCCUGUAAGAUCGGGAUAACUCCGGGAAACCGGGGCUAAUACCGGAUAACCCGUGCCUCCUCCUGGAGGCGCGUUGAAAGGCGGCUUCGGCUGUCGCUUACAGAUGGGCCCGCGGCGUAUUAGCUUGUUGGUGGGGUAACGGCCCACCAAGGCGAUGAUACGUAGCCGACCUGAGAGGGUAAUCGGCCACACUGGGACUGAGACACGGCCCAGACUCCUACGGGAGGCAGCAGUAGGGAAUCUUCCGCAAUGGACGAAAGUCUGACGGAGCAAUGCCGCGUGAGUGAAGAAGGUCUUCGGAUCGUAAAGCUCUGUUGCCGGAGAAGAACAAGGACAGUAGUAACUGGCUGUCCCUUGACGGUAUCCGGCCAGAAAGCCACGGCUAACUACGUGCCAGCAGCCGCGGUAAUACGUAGGUGGCAAGCGUUGUCCGGAUUUAUUGGGCGUAAAGCGAGCGCAGGCGGUCCUUUAAGUCUGAUGUGAAAGCCCACGGGCUCAACCGUGGAAGGUCAUUGGAAACUGGGGGACUUGAGUGCAGAAGAGGAAAGUGGAUUCCAUGUGUAGCGGUGAAAUGCUAAAUGUAUGGAGGAACCCCAGUGGGCGAAGGCGAC
Molecule: ribosomal RNA, 697 nt
Filed under: uncultured bacterium
Lineage: Bacteria
Description: bacterial SSU rRNA
Rfam family: Bacterial small subunit ribosomal RNA
Source: RNAcentral